UCAAGCUGAUAAGAGCGCAGGGUGGAUGCCUUGGCACUAAGAGCCGAUGAAAGACGUGAUAAGCUGCGAAAAGCUUCGGGGAGGAGCAAAUAUCCUUUGAUCCGGAGAUAUCUGAAUGGGGAAACCCGGCUGAGAAGACCUCAGUCACUGUAUGGUAAAUCCAUAGCCAUACAGAGGGAACCCGGUGAACUGAAACAUCUAAGUAGCCGGAGGAAGAGAAAGAAACAUCGAUUCCGGAAGUAGCGGCGAGCGAACCCGGAAGAGCCCAAACCAGCGUGCGUGCAUGCUGGGGUUAAGGACUGCAUAAGUGAGCCGAUCUGUUAAUGGAACUGCCUGGGAAGGCAGGCCAGAGAGGGUGAAAGCCCCGUACAUGAAAACGGUAGGCAGCGGCAGGAUCCAGAGUACCGCGAGACACGAGAAACCUUGCGGGAAGUCGGAGGGACCACCCUCCAAGGCUAAAUACUCCUUAGUGACCGAUAGCGCAUAGUACUGUGAAGGAAAGGUGAAAAGGACCCCGGGAGGGGAGUGAAAGAGAACCUGAAACCCUGUGUUUACAAGCUGUGGGAGCACGUUAAGGUGCAACCGCGUACUUUUUGUAGAACGGUCCGGCGAGUUGCCGGUGCUGGCAAGGUUAAAUGGUACAGCCAUGGAGCCGAAGGGAAACCAAGUCUCAAAUGGGCGUAAAGUCAGCACAGGCAGACCCGAAACCGGGUGACCUAUCCAUGUCCAGGAUGAAGCGGAAGUAAAAUUCCGUGGAGGUCCGGAUCCACAUCCGUUGAAAAGGGUGGGAAUGAGGUGUGGAUAGGGGAGAAAUUCCAAUCGAACCCGGAGAUAGCUGGUUCUCCUCGAAAUAGCUUUAGGGCUAGCCUCGUAUUAGUUUAGCGGAGGUAGAGCACUGAAUUCCUAAGGGGGCGUCAAAGCUUACCAAGGGAUAUCAAACUCCGAAUGCCGCAUAAAUGAUGUACGGGAGUCAGACUGCACGAGAUAAGUUGGGCAGUCAAAAGGGAAAGAGCCCAGACCUACAGCUAAGGUCCCAAAGUGUGUGUUAAGUGGAAAAGGAUGUGGGAUUUCAGAGACAACUAGGAUGUUGGCUUAGAAGCAGCCACACAUUCAAAGAGUGCGUAAUAGCUCACUAGUCGAGAGGUCCUGCGCCGAAAAUGUCCGGGGCUGAAACACAACACCGAAGCUCAGGAAUGUAUUUAUACAUUGGUAGAGGAGCAUUCUUAAAGGGGCGAAGCAGUACCGAUAAGGAGCUGUGGACUUUUAAGAAGAGAGAAUGCCGGAAUGAGUAGCGAGAUGGAGGUGGGAAUCCUCCAGGCCGAAUAUCCAAGGUUUCCAGAGUAAAGCUGAUCUGCUCUGGGUAAGUCGGGGCCUAAGGUAAGGCUGAGAAGCGUAGCCGAUGGACAACAGGUUGAGAUUCCUGUACCGCGUAUCAUCAGAACUGUGGGGACACAGAAGGACAGCACAUCCCGGGAAUGGAAAGACCGGGGCAAGCAGGGUAGGAGUUAAGCUGGCAAAUCCGCUUAACAAUCCGAAGCUGUGAUGCGGAGCGAAUUUAAGUAGCGAAGUGUGCGAUUCCGGCUGUCAAGAAAAGCCGCUAUUGUGUGAUACGUGCCCGUACCGUAAACCGACACAGGUAGAUGAGGAGAGAAUCCUAAGGCCGGCGGGAGAAGCAUUGUUAAGGAACUCGGCAAAAUGACCCCGUAACUUCGGGAGAAGGGGUGCCACAGAGAUGUGGCCGCAGAGAAUAGGCUCAAGCAACUGUUUAGCAAAAACACAGGUCUAUGCAAAACCGUAAGGUGAGGUAUAUGGGCUGACGCCUGCCCGGUGCUGGAAGGUUAAGAGGAGGGGUUAGCGCAAGCGAAGCUCUGAAUUGAAGCCCCAGUAAACGGCGGCCGUAACUAUAACGGUCCUAAGGUAGCGAAAUUCCUUGUCGGG
RNAcentral lists this ribosomal RNA (1938 nucleotides) under human gut metagenome. RNAcentral describes it as "bacterial LSU rRNA". It matches the Rfam family "Bacterial large subunit ribosomal RNA", at positions 3 to 1976 of the family's 2925-position model. The record is from RNAcentral.